RNAcentral lists this ribosomal RNA (403 nucleotides) under uncultured Methanolobus sp. RNAcentral's name for it is "bacterial SSU rRNA". It matches the Rfam family "Archaeal small subunit ribosomal RNA", at positions 938 to 1338 of the family's 1478-position model. Lineage: Archaea; Methanobacteriati; Methanobacteriota; Methanomicrobia; Methanosarcinales; Methanosarcinaceae. The record is from RNAcentral.
GACAGCAAUAGUUGUAGGUCAGGCUGAAGGUCUUACCUGAAUCGCUGAGAGGAGGUGCAUGGCCGUCGUCAGUUCGUACUGUGAAGCAUCCUGUUAAGUCAGGCAACGAGCGAGACCCGUGCCCACUGUUGCCAGCAUAUCCUUCGGGAUGAUGGGUACUCUGUGGGGACCGCCGCUGCUAAAGCGGAGGAAGGUGCGGGCUACGGUAGGUCAGUAUGCCCCGAAUCUCCAGGGCUACACGCGGGCUACAAUGACCGGGACAAUGGGUCCCUACCCCGAAAGGGGUUGGUAAUCUCAUAAACCCGGCCUUAGUUCGGAUCGAGGGCUGCAACUCGCCCUCGUGAAGCUGGAAUCCGUAGUAAUCGCGUUUCAAUAUAGCGCGGUGAAUACGUCCCUGCUCCUU